Molecule: long non-coding RNA, 565 nt
Organism: Sitophilus oryzae (rice weevil)
Lineage: Eukaryota; Metazoa; Arthropoda; Insecta; Coleoptera; Curculionidae
Exons: 3
Source: RefSeq, a predicted model, not a curated record
AAAAAUUAUGUAAUUUAUAAACAUGAAAUAGAUAUGGAUGUUAGGUAAUACCGGAUGUUAAAUUAAUAUAUAAAUAUUUAACUUAAUACGUACAUUAUUAUUUUAUUAAUUUAUCGUCACACGUCAUUUACCAGUUGCCUAAUUACGAAAAGUUUCAUAUGAUAUUAACCUCAAAAAUGAUCUUUGAAAACAAACAACAACAAAUAACUCAAAGAAAUAACUACAUACUACAUAAUAAUAACUGAUAAUAAUGACUUUUAAUGGUAUAAAGGCUGAUGAAGUUUUAGACAACCAAUACAAGAUUCAGAACUCGGCAUCGCGAUAAACAAGUAAAAUUGUACAUUCAGGAACUCGUUUAAAUAUUAUAGGUUGAUUGAAGAAUAAUCUACAAUUGAUUAGAGCCUAUGACGAUGCGAAGAUAAUUAAUCACCUAACUUUAAGAAACCAGCCUAAAGAAGUUUACAUGCAUCUCAUCUAACCAUUAUAGGUAAUAAUUUACAAAAUUAGUCAUUUUUGAUUAUAAUAUUAUGGUACUUAGGUACAUUUUAUCUUCUAGAUCAGUAGU